RNAcentral lists this ribosomal RNA (376 nucleotides) under uncultured bacterium. Its description in RNAcentral is "bacterial SSU rRNA". It matches the Rfam family "Bacterial small subunit ribosomal RNA", at positions 524 to 898 of the family's 1533-position model. The record is from RNAcentral.
UACAGAGGGUGCAAGCGUUGUUCGGAAUUAUUGGGCGUAAAGGGAGUGUAGGCGGCUUUGUAAGUCUUCUGUGAAAUCUACGGGCUAAACCUGUAAAGUGCAGAGGAUACUGUGAGGCUAGAAUGUCAAAGAGGAGAGUGGAAUUCCCGGUGUAGAGGUGAAAUUCGUAGAGAUCGGGAGGAACACCAGUGGCGAAGGCGACUCUCUGGUUGACUAUUGACGCUGAGACUCGAAAGCAUGGGGAGCAAACAGGAUUAGAUACCCUGGUAGUCCAUGCCGUAAACGAUGAUAACUAGAUGUGUGAGGUAUUGACCCCUUACGUGUCGAAGCUAACGCGAUAAGUUAUCCGCCUGGGGAGUACGGUCGCAAGAUUAAA